This 1258-nucleotide long non-coding RNA is filed under the name Pan paniscus (pygmy chimpanzee). Its description in RNAcentral is "lncRNA (ENSPPAG00000044833.1)". The record is from RNAcentral. Lineage: Eukaryota; Metazoa; Chordata; Mammalia; Primates; Hominidae.
ACUUGACGACGACUUGGGCCUGCAGAGGCCGCCGGGAGGCCGGAGCUGGGCCUGGAGAGGCCGACUUCAGGACGAUUUGGGCCUGCAGAGGACGCCGGGAGGCUGCAAGUGGCUCUGGAGAGGCCGAUUUGAGGAGGCCCGGCCUCAGCCUCCCACAUGGCGGCCUCUGCAGGCACAGCUGUUUCUCUUGGCUGCAUCUCCCACCUCCCAGGAAACAAGCUUUUUGGCUCAGCUCCCGCCUGCGUUUGUAGACACCGAAGUUUCGGCAACCAAGCUCUUCAGACCCACAUCCCCCCUCCCAGUACCUGAACAGUCCCAGCUCCGGCUGGAGAACAGAGUCUGUAGGCCCCGCUGUUGCCUCAGAGGGGUGUCUCCAGGCCCCUGGGAGGCAAGAGCGGGACCUGCAUAGGCUGUUCUCCAACCAUUGCUGGGCCCGUACAGGCCACCGGGUGGCAGGAAUUAGGCCCGAAGAACUUGGCUGGAGAAAGUUCGGGGCCCACAAAGGCGGUUGGGAGCUGGGCAGGAGUUGAGCCAAAAGAGCUUGCUUACUUGCCGGGAGGCACGGCCGGGAGAUGCCAACUUCAGGACAACUUGGGCCUGCAGAGGUCGCCGGGAGGCCCAAGCUUGGCGUGGAGGAGCCCACCGACCAGAGACCAUUUGGGGCCUGCAGGUGCCAUCGGAGGGCAGGAGCUCAUCCUGGAGAGGCCACCGUGAGGCCUGACCUGGGCCUGGGGAGCUUGGCUUGAGGAAGCUGUGGGCUGUGGAUAUUGGAUAUAUCCAAUAUCCGAUGGAGCUGUGCCUGUGGAGGCUGUUGUGAGGCAGCAGCCUCAUCUGCGGAGACUGCCGUGACGUAGGGUAUGGGCCUAAAUAGGCCAUUGUGAGUCAUGAGCUUGGUCUGUAGAGGUUGACUGGAGAAAGUUCUGGGCCUGGAGAGGCUGCCGGGAGGUAGGAGCUGGGCCAAAAGAUUUAAGCACAUUUACAUUUAUUAGGGACUUUAUUUCCAUUAUUACAAUAUAUAAUAAUAUAUUUCAUAUAUUAAUAUAUUUAACAUAUUAAUAUAUAUAAUAUAUAUAUUUAUUAUAUAUCCAAUAUAUAAUAAAAUAAUUAUAGAACUCACCAUAAUGUCGAAUCAGUGGGCGUGUUAAGCUUGUUUCCUGAAACUGGAUGGUCCCACCUGAGCGUGAUGGGAGAAGUGACAGAUCAAUAGGUAUUAGAUUCUCAUAAGGACAGCGCAACCUAGGCCCUNACAUACCCGGUU